AAUGAUUCUAUUAACUAUCAUAAUUAUAACUUUAAACUAUUUAACUUAUAUUUGAGGCGUGCAAAGGUUUCAUCGGGCCGAACGAAGAUCGACCCUCGAGUGCAAAGAUAGAAGGGAGCUUGACUGCAAGAUCCACCAGUCGAGCAGGGAUGAAAGUUGGCCUUAGUGAUUCGACGGUGCCAAGUGGAAGGGUCAUCGCUCAACGGAUAAAAGUUACUCUAGGGAUAACAGACUAAUCUUCCCCAAGAGCUCACAUUGGCGGGAAGGUUUGGCACCUUGAUGUCGGCUCUUCGCCACCUGGGGCUGUAGUAUGUUCUAAGGGUUGGAUUGUUCGCCCAUUAAAAAGAAUUGUGAGUUGGGUUCAGAAUGUCAUGAGACAGUUUGGUC
This 387-nucleotide non-coding RNA is filed under the name Vitis vinifera (wine grape). RNAcentral describes it as "Bacterial large subunit ribosomal RNA". It matches the Rfam family "Bacterial large subunit ribosomal RNA", at positions 2293 to 2636 of the family's 2925-position model. Lineage: Eukaryota; Viridiplantae; Streptophyta; Magnoliopsida; Vitales; Vitaceae. The record is from Rfam by way of RNAcentral.